CCUACGGGAGGCAGCAGUGGGGAAUAUUGGGCAAUGGGCGCAAGCCUGACCCAGCAACGCCGCGUGAAGGAAGAAGGCUUUCGGGUUGUAAACUUCUUUUCUCAGGGACGAAGCAAGUGACGGUACCUGAGGAAUAAGCCACGGCUAACUACGUGCCAGCAGCCGCGGUAAUACGUAGGUGGCAAGCGUUAUCCGGAUUUACUGGGUGUAAAGGGCGUGUAGGCGGGGAGGCAAGUCAGAUGGGAAAACCACGGGCUCAACCUGUGGCCUGCAUUUGAAACUGUGUUUCUUGAGUACUGGAGAGGCAGACGGAAUUCCUAGUGUAGCGGUGAAAUGCGUAGAUAUUAGGAGGAACACCAAUAGCGUAGGCAGGUUACUGGGACGGUUCUGACACUAAGGCACGAAAGCGUAGGGAGCAAACGGGAUUAGAUACCCGAGUAGUC
RNAcentral lists this ribosomal RNA (443 nucleotides) under uncultured bacterium. RNAcentral's name for it is "partial 16S ribosomal RNA". It matches the Rfam family "Bacterial small subunit ribosomal RNA", at positions 338 to 795 of the family's 1533-position model. The record is from RNAcentral.